RNAcentral lists this ribosomal RNA (1036 nucleotides) under uncultured bacterium. RNAcentral's name for it is "bacterial SSU rRNA". It matches the Rfam family "Bacterial small subunit ribosomal RNA", at positions 477 to 1528 of the family's 1533-position model. The record is from RNAcentral.
ACCUUAUCAGAAAGCACCGGCAAACUAUGUGCCAGCAGCCGCGGUAAUACAUAGGGUGCAAGCGUUAUCCGGAAUUAUUGGGCGUAAAGCGUCUGUAGGCGGUUUAUUAAGUUUGAAGUUAAAGCCUGGGGCUCAACCCCAGCCCGCUUUGAAUACUGAUAAACUAGAGUUAUGGAGAGGUCAGUGGAACUCCUUGUGAAGCGGUGGAAUGCGUAGAUAUAAGGAAGAACACCAAUAGCGAAGGCAGCUGACUGGACAUUAACUGACGCUCAGAGACGAAAGUGUGGGUAGCAAACAGGAUUAGAUACCCUGGUAGUCCACACCGUAAACGAUGUUCGUUAGAUGGCGGAGUAUUUCGCUGUCGCAGCUAACGCAUUAAACGAACCGCCUGAGUAGUAUGCGCGCAAGCGUGAAACUUAAAUGAAUUGACGGGGACCCGCACAAGCGGUGGAGCAUGUGGUUUAAUUUGAAGAUACGCGGAGAACCUUACCCAGACUUGACAUCUUCCGCAAAGGCCUAGAAAUAGGUUGGAGGUUAACGGAAUGACAGAUGGUGCAUGGUUGUCGUCAGCUCGUGCCGUGAGGUGUUCGGUUAAGUCCGACAACGAGCGCAACCCCUAUCUUUAGUUGCUAACAUUAAGUUGAGGACUCUAGAGAGACUGCCUGGGUAACCAGGAGGAAGGUGGGGAUGACGUCAAAUCAUCAUGCCUCUUACGUCUGGGGCUACACACGUGCUACAAUGGCCAGUACAAAGGGAAGCAAACCUGCGAGGGUAAGCAAACCCCAAAAAACUGGUCUCAGUUCGGAUCGAAGUCUGCAACUCGACUUCGUGAAGUUGGAAUCGCUAGUAAUCGUAGGUCAGCAAUACUACGGUGAAUACGUUCUCGGGUCUUGUACACACCGCCCGUCACACCAUGGGAGUUGGUAAUGCCCGAAGCCGGAUAGUUAACUUCGGAGACUACUGUCUAAGGCAGGACUGAUGACUGGGGUGAAGUCGUAACAAGGUAUCCCUACGAGAACGUGGGGAUGGAUCACCU